This 501-nucleotide ribosomal RNA is filed under the name uncultured bacterium. RNAcentral describes it as "partial 16S ribosomal RNA". It matches the Rfam family "Bacterial small subunit ribosomal RNA", at positions 30 to 523 of the family's 1533-position model. The record is from RNAcentral.
AUUGAACGCUGGCGGCAGGCUUAACACAUGCAAGUCGAGCGGGCGAGGUUGCUUCGGUAACUGAGCUAGUGGCGGACGGGUGAGUAAUGCUUAGGAAUCUGCCUAUUAGUGGGGGACAACAUUCCGAAAGGAAUGCUAAUACCGCAUACGCCCUACGGGGGAAAGCAGGGGAUCUUCGGACCUUGCGCUAAUAGAUGAGCCUAAGUCAGAUUAGCUAGUUGGUGGGGUAAAGGCCUACCAAGGCGACGAUCUGUAGCGGGUCUGAGAGGAUGAUCCGCCACACUGGGACUGAGACACGGCCCAGACUCCUACGGGAGGCAGCAGUGGGGAAUAUUGGACAAUGGGCGGAAGCCUGAUCCAGCCAUGCCGCGUGUGUGAAGAAGGCCUUUUGGUUGUAAAGCACUUUAAGCGAGGAGGAGGCUACUUGGAUUAAUACUCUAGGAUAGUGGACGUUACUCGCAGAAUAAGCACCGGCUAACUCUGUGCCAGCAGCCGCCGUAA